UUCCGGUUGAUCCUGCCGGACCCGACUGCUAUCAGAGUGGGACUAAGCCAUGCGAGUCAACAUAGCAAUAUGUGGCAUACGGCUCAGUAACACGUAGUCAACAUGCCCAGGGGACGUGGAUAACCUCGGGAAACUGAGGAUAAACCGCGAUAAGUCACUGCUUCUGGAAUGGGCAAUGACUUAAAUCUAUAUGGCCCCUGGAUUGGACUGCGGCCGAUCAGGCUGUUGGUGAGGUAAUGGCCCACCAAACCUGUAACCGGUACGGGCUCUGAGAGGAGGAGCCCGGAGAUGGGCACUGAGACAAGGGCCCAGGCCCUACGGGGCGCAGCAGGCGCGAAACCUCUGCAAUAGGCGAAAGCCUGACAGGGUUACUCUGAGUGAUUUCCGUUAAGGAGAUCUUUUGGCACCUCUAAAAAUGGUGCAGAAUAAGGGGUGGGCAAGUCUGGUGUCAGCCGCCGCGGUAAUACCAGCGCCCCGAGUGGUCGGGACGUUUAUUGGGCCUAAAGCAUCCGUAGCCGGUUCUGCAAGUCUUCCGUUAAAUCCACCUGCUUAACAGAUGGGCUGCGGAGAUACUAUAGAGCUAGGAGGCGGGAGAGGCAAGCGGUACUCGAUGGGUAGGGGUAAAAUCCGUUGAUCCAUUGAAGACCACCAGUGGCGAAGGCGGCUUGCCAGAACGCGCUCGACGGUGAGGGAUGAAAGCUGGGGGAGCAAACCGGAUUAGAUACCCGGGUAGUCCCAG
This 739-nucleotide ribosomal RNA is filed under the name uncultured archaeon. RNAcentral's name for it is "bacterial SSU rRNA". It matches the Rfam family "Archaeal small subunit ribosomal RNA", at positions 1 to 750 of the family's 1478-position model. The record is from RNAcentral.